Molecule: ribosomal RNA, 497 nt
Filed under: uncultured bacterium
Lineage: Bacteria
Description: partial 16S ribosomal RNA
Rfam family: Bacterial small subunit ribosomal RNA
Source: RNAcentral
GACGAACGCUGGCGGCGUGCUUAAUACAUGCAAGUCGAGCGAAAAGACGAUGAGCUUGCUCCUCUGACGUGAGCGGCGGACGGGUGAGUAACACGUGUAUACCCUACCUAUAAGACUGGUAUAACUUCGGGAAAGCGGAGCUAAUACCGGAUAAUAUAUUGAACCGUGUUGUGCAAUAGUGAAAGACGGCUUUUCUGUCUCUUAUAGCUGGAUCCGCGCCGCAUUAGCUGGUUGGUAAGGUAACGGGUUACCAGGGCAACGAUGCGUAGCCGAGCUGAGGGGCGGGUCGGCCACACUGGAAGUGAGCCAGGGUCCAGAGUCCUACGGGAGGCAGCAGUAGGGAAUGUGAGGCAAUGGGGGGAAGCAUGACGGAGCGACGCCGAGUGAGUGAUAAAAGUCUUGGGAUCGUAAAACUCUGUUAUUGGGGAAAAACAAAUGUGUAAGGAAAUAUGGAGGGCGUGACGGUAACUAAUAAGAAAGCAACGGCUAACUACGUG